Molecule: ribosomal RNA, 1242 nt
Filed under: Triticum aestivum (bread wheat)
Lineage: Eukaryota; Viridiplantae; Streptophyta; Magnoliopsida; Poales; Poaceae
Description: partial small subunit ribosomal RNA
Source: RNAcentral
AUGGAGAGCCAAGCCAGCAUCUCUCCCUGGGUCAGCUCCACUUUACGGGCAAGCCAGCAGCGGCAACACGCGAGGAGCAGCCGCCGCCGAUCCCCUUCUCUGCUCGCGGUACUGCUUCUUCUUCUUCGGAUGCCCAUGCCGUUGUUCUCCUCUCAUCUCCCUUGCCUACUGCUUCCGAUCAUGUAUUGUAUUCAGAUUAAGUUGACACCCUUGCCGAAAAUCCAGUCAGAAGUCAGUGGCCUUGUUGUCCUGUUCAACUUAAGUUUGCACGAUGCGUAUUUGAUUUCUUGGCUGAUUGUUGUGAGCAUGAGUUAUAUAUACAGGUCAGACAGGGUGUUCCUCUAUCAUAUUCUAGGAGAAGUGAUAAAAGCCGGAGCAACAAGCCUCAGCAUCCCAGUUGGCCAGCACACCCCUCUUCAUGAAUUCCAGGAAUUAAUUGCUGACAUAAAAGAAAACACUCCUGGGAUCGAAAAUGCAAUCAUAUCUACUCCUUGCCAUGACGUUCUUGGUCUUGCAAGUGCCAACACACUAGUGGGUGUUUUUGCACGAGCAAAGCAGUUAGAGGUGACUGUCACUGUUAGUGGUGAAAGAGUCGGAAAUUCUUCCAUGGAGGAGGUUGUCAUGGAAAUUAAAUUUUCUCGAGAACUUUCAGGUGACCUAUAUACUGGAGUUAAUACCCAAGGAAGUACCAUGAAAAGCAAAAUGAUGCAAGAGCAGAGUGGACUUCACGCGCAGCUGCAUAAUGCUACUCUUGGCGCUAUUGCUCAUGAAAGGGAAAUUAAUCUGGAAUGCACUGAGAUGCUUAAAUUCGAAAGAACUUGUGAAAUAGCAUCAUAUGUUGAUAUCGGUCUCAGCAGAAGGCAUGUCGUCAGAACUAAAGUAGUGGAGCAUGGAUAUGGAAUCACCGAGAAAGAAUUUGCGGAUAUAUGUAAAAGCAGCUACAAAGUGGUUGCAGAGGAACAAAAGCCCGUCGCGCCGCUGGACUCGCGCAUGGACAUAACCACCCUGCUCUACAACACCGGGCAGGUGGUUGUCGUAGGCAGGUCCGUCAUGGACAUUGCGCAGCAUCCUGUGGUGCUCAACACUGUGCUACCGCUCAUGCGGCAGAUGGCGUGGCCAUGCCUGCGUGUCAUCGUCGUGUCUGGGUUUGGCGCCACGCUCGGUGCUGGCGUCAUGGCCAUGUAUGUUGGGGCGAUGGUGAUCCUUGAUGCAGGGUCCACGUACCGCUCCUCCACCCUGUAG